UUUAUGGAGAGUUUGAUCCUGGCUCAGGAUGAACGCUGGCGGCGUGCCUAAUACAUGCAAGUCGAGCGAACGGACGAGAAGCUUGCUUCUCUGAUGUUAGCGGCGGACGGGUGAGUAACACGUGGAUAACCUACCUAUAAGACUGGGAUAACUUCGGGAAACCGGAGCUAAUACCGGAUAAUAUUUUGAACCGCAUGGUUCAAAAGUGAAAGACGGUCUUGCUGUCACUUAUAGAUGGAUCCGCGCUGCAUUAGCUAGUUGGUAAGGUAACGGCUUACCAAGGCAACGAUGCAUAGCCGACCUGAGAGGGUGAUCGGCCACACUGGAACUGAGACACGGUCCAGACUCCUACGGGAGGCAGCAGUAGGGAAUCUUCCGCAAUGGGCGAAAGCCUGACGGAGCAACGCCGCGUGAGUGAUGAAGGUCUUCGGAUCGUAAAACUCUGUUAUUAGGGAAGAACAUAUGUGUAAGUAACUGUGCACAUCUUGACGGUACCUAAUCAGAAAGCCACGGCUAACUACGUGCCAGCAGCCGCGGUAAUACGUAGGUGGCAAGCGUUAUCCGGAAUUAUUGGGCGUAAAGCGCGCGUAGGCGGUUUUUUAAGUCUGAUGUGAAAGCCCACGGCUCAACCGUGGAGGGUCAUUGGAAACUGGAAAACUUGAGUGCAGAAGAGGAAAGUGGAAUUCCAUGUGUAGCGGUGAAAUGCGCAGAGAUAUGGAGGAACACCAGUGGCGAAGGCGACUUUCUGGUCUGUAACUGACGCUGAUGUGCGAAAGCGUGGGGAUCAAACAGGAUUAGAUACCCUGGUAGUCCACGCCGUAAACGAUGAGUGCUAAGUGUUAGGGGGUUUCCGCCCCUUAGUGCUGCAGCUAACGCAUUAAGCACUCCGCCUGGGGAGUACGACCGCAAGGUUGAAACUCAAAGGAAUUGACGGGGACCCGCACAAGCGGUGGAGCAUGUGGUUUAAUUCGAAGCAACGCGAAGAACCUUACCAAAUCUUGACAUCCUUUGACAACUCUAGAGAUAGAGCUUUCCCCUUCGGGGGACAAAGUGACAGGUGGUGCAUGGUUGUCGUCAGCUCGUGUCGUGAGAUGUUGGGUUAAGUCCCGCAACGAGCGCA
This 1120-nucleotide ribosomal RNA is filed under the name Staphylococcus aureus. RNAcentral's name for it is "bacterial SSU rRNA". It matches the Rfam family "Bacterial small subunit ribosomal RNA", at positions 1 to 1100 of the family's 1533-position model. Lineage: Bacteria; Bacillati; Bacillota; Bacilli; Caryophanales; Staphylococcaceae. The record is from RNAcentral.